CAUGUUGCAGGCCAGAAACAAAUAACUAGGAGAGAUGGCAGCAGUGUCACACAAUGUAGAAAGGGCGAUUCU
Molecule: non-coding RNA, 72 nt
Organism: Vicugna pacos (alpaca)
Lineage: Eukaryota; Metazoa; Chordata; Mammalia; Artiodactyla; Camelidae
Source: RefSeq, a predicted model, not a curated record